This is a long non-coding RNA of Trifolium pratense (red clover), 1996 nucleotides long. RefSeq lists it as uncharacterized. Lineage: Eukaryota; Viridiplantae; Streptophyta; Magnoliopsida; Fabales; Fabaceae. The record is from RefSeq and is a predicted model, not a curated record. The transcript has 5 exons.
UAUUAUAUGGGUACCUCUUUGAUAGCGCUUUUUGUAGAAACGCUAUUAUAGGACUUUCUACCAAAUUAAAUAAAAAAUUGCGUAAAAUAUUUUAUUUAGCGUUUUGGCUUCAGAGACCUUCUUCAAACUCAACUCAAUAUCUCGCCUAUCUCACCUUCUUCGAACUUUACCUUUUCCCUCAUCGAACUCAUUAUUUCGUGAAUCUCCUUCUUUACCUUCUUCGAUCCCCAAACGUGUUCACCUAAACCAGCCUCCAUUUUUCUCUCCGUCGAACUCAUCAACCACCAUCUCUCUAUCGAACAAAAACCUUCUUUCUCUCCGUCAAAAUCGUCGCUUGAACCCUUAAAACCUUCUUAUCUCAAUCGUUCCCCUCUUUGAACCCUAAAAUGAAAACUGAUUGAACCUAGAACUCAGAAAUCCUAAAAUUUAAUUGAAACCCUAGAAAUCAAUUGAAACCCUAGAAAUCAAUCGAACACAGAGCUCAAUUCAUUAUCUUCGUUAACACUAGAGGCCAUUUGUCACCUUAUCUACCCAUUCCGAUGGCAGGUAUUCAAUCCUUUACAUCUGUACUCCAGUGUUGAGUUCUAUUUCCCUCCUGUUUUUAUGGUUCCAUGUAUCUACAAUAAAUUUUAAGUUUUUGAUUAUCCUAUCUUCUUAGACUUGGCUGACAAGGACAUGAAGCAAAUUAAUGCUCUGUUUUGUGAGGUUUGGAGAGUUUGGAGAGAUAAUAGGUGGUCUAGUUGGGACCUCACAGGUGCAACAGAGUUUGUUAUUUUUUCUCUGCUCUGCGGCAGAUUUUCUGCUGUGUUAGACAGUAAUUUCAGCAGGUGUUUUGGUGGAGUUUGUGGCUGUCAAUAAUAACUCAUGGUCUAAUGGACAUAGAUAUUUGAGUUGUUUAUUUCUUUCUUUUACAAUAUCAUGUGUUGCAGAUCAUUAAAUCACAUAUGUGGCUUUGCUUGGUAUCUUUUCACCAAGUUUAAUUUUUUGUGUUUAUGUAGUCAUCUAUAAAUAUAGACUUCUUUACAAAAUAUGAUCAAGGGAGUACAUUCACCCACUUCUAUUUUCUAGACAGUAAGAAUCUUUUUUCCCUUGAAUACUCUCACCUUCUCAGGUCAUUCACCAAGUGAGUAGCUCUCAUUCUCAGGUCAUCUUGCUUAUGCCCAUUUGUUACUAAAUUUAUGAUAAACAUGCUUUUUUAUUUAUUUAUUUUUGUACAAGCAUGCUUUUUAUUUAAUAUUACACACUUUUUACUUUAUCACCAUGAGUUUACAAUUGUGUUUGGUUUGUUUAUUUUGUUUUUGGUCUCUAGCAGCCUUCAAAUUCUAUGGAUCUCGACUAUGACUUCACGUUGGACCAUCUUUCGACUAUCAAAGUAAUCAGAAAAGGGAGCAGUGAUGUAGUGCAACAUGUUCGCCAUAAGUGGGUUGUAAAAUUAUUUGCUUUAAAGAGCUUAUGUUUCACUAGAUGACGUGAAGGAGGAGUACGACUACCUAUAUGGCUGAAGAUGUUAUCAAUUAAUGAUGCAAAAAGGCGGCAAAAAUAAUAGUUGAUCAUUAAUUGGUAGUUUGAGGCCUUUCUUUUCUCAAUGAACUAGGUGGUUCUCAUCAAGUGACAGGUCAGAGAAGAAAGUAGGGCUAGAGUUUGACAAUCUCUUUUGUAGUGGUCUUUGUUUUGUACUAAAAUUUCAUUGAUUUUUCUCAUAAGUAUGGCCAAAGUUUGACAUAUCUCUUUUGUAGUGGUCUUUGUAUUUGCACUAUUCAAUUCGGAUUUGUCUUGUAGUCGGAUUGAUUUUGUUUAUGAAAUGAAUGUAUUACAAGAGUUUUUGUUUCGAAAGUCUAUAUAUAUAUAUAUAUAUUGAUACUAUUUUAAAAGUUCAAGAGCAAGUUGUCAAACAAAAAGUGCAAUUUAUUGUAAAAAACAGCAAUGUUUAAAAAAGGACAGGAUUAGUAAAAAAAAAAGGACAGGACAUACAAUAGCGUUUUUUACACAGGCGCUA